This 193-nucleotide non-coding RNA is filed under the name Myroides profundi. The record is from RNAcentral. Lineage: Bacteria; Pseudomonadati; Bacteroidota; Flavobacteriia; Flavobacteriales; Flavobacteriaceae.
AUUAAUUCCAUAGAAAUAGGUUAUACUUAGUUGUAUAUGAAAAGGGAAUCGUGUGAGAAUCACGAACUGUCGCGCAACUGUAAGUAACUCAUUAAUUUUUUAUCCAAGUGAUCCACUGUUAUUACUUAAGUAAUGGGAAGGACGAUAAAAAAUAGUUACAAGUCAGGAGACCUGCCUAAUUCUGUUUAUAGAC